GCCUGGGUGGCUCAGUCGGUUAAGCGUCUGACUCUCAGUUUGGGCUCAGGUCACGAUCUCACGGUGCGUGGGUUCAAGCCCCACAUUGGGCU
RNAcentral lists this transfer RNA (92 nucleotides) under Felis catus (domestic cat). It matches the Rfam family "tRNA". From Rfam's summary of the family: Transfer RNA (tRNA) molecules are approximately 80 nucleotides in length. Their secondary structure includes four short double-helical elements and three loops (D, anti-codon, and T loops). Further hydrogen bonds mediate the characteristic L-shaped molecular structure. tRNAs have two regions of fundamental functional importance: the anti-codon, which is responsible for specific mRNA codon recognition, and the 3' end, to which the tRNAs corresponding amino acid is attached (by aminoacyl-tRNA synthetases). tRNAs cope with the degeneracy of the genetic code in two manners: having more than one tRNA (with a specific anti-codon) for a particular amino acid; and 'wobble' base-pairing, i.e. permitting non-standard base-pairing at the 3rd anti-codon position. The record is from Rfam by way of RNAcentral. Lineage: Eukaryota; Metazoa; Chordata; Mammalia; Carnivora; Felidae.